CGAACGGGUGAGUAACACGUGAGCAACCUGCCCUAUACAACGGGAUAACACAGAGAAAUUUGUGCUAAUACGGUAUAAGACCACAGUAUCGCAUGAUACAGGGUAAAAGAUUUAUCGGUAUAGGAUGGGCUCGCGACCCAUUAGCUAGUUGGUGAGGUAACGGCCCCCCCAAGGCAACGAUGGGUAGCCGACCUGAGAGGGUGAUCGGCCACACUGGGACUGAGACACGGCCCAGACUCCUACGGGAGGCAGCAG
This 255-nucleotide ribosomal RNA is filed under the name uncultured bacterium. Its description in RNAcentral is "partial 16S ribosomal RNA". It matches the Rfam family "Bacterial small subunit ribosomal RNA", at positions 99 to 354 of the family's 1533-position model. The record is from RNAcentral.